UACGAAGGAUCCAAGCGUUAUCCGGAUUUAUUGGGUUUAAAGGGUGCGUAGGCGGGCUAUUAAGUCAGUGGUGAAAGCCCCAAGCUUAACUUGGGAACUGCCAUUGAUACUGAUGGUCUUGAGUACACUUGAGGUGGGCGGAAUGUGUCAUGUAGCGGUGAAAUGCUUAGAUAUGACACAGAACACCGAUUGCGAAGGCAGCUCACUAAAUUGUAACCGACGCUGAGGCACGAAAGCGUGGGGAUCAAACAGG
RNAcentral lists this ribosomal RNA (253 nucleotides) under uncultured bacterium. RNAcentral's name for it is "partial 16S ribosomal RNA". It matches the Rfam family "Bacterial small subunit ribosomal RNA", at positions 524 to 776 of the family's 1533-position model. The record is from RNAcentral.